Molecule: small RNA, 571 nt
Filed under: Pongo abelii (Sumatran orangutan)
Lineage: Eukaryota; Metazoa; Chordata; Mammalia; Primates; Hominidae
Description: retained intron
Source: RNAcentral
AGCUUGAACGGAACACUAGGAUGUCUGAGCCUUCUUUAUCUUCCUUCCUGUGGUCUUUACACAGGGACGUUCCAAGUGACCUCAAGAAGGCACACCAUCCGAAGAGAGGGGCUACCAUGAAUGAAGACAGCAAUGAAGAAGAGGAAGAAAGUGAAAAUGAUUGGGAAGAGGUUGAAGAACUUACUGAGCCUGUGCUGGGUGACGUGAGAGAAAGUACAGCCUUCUCUCGAUCUCUUCUGCCUGUGAAGCCAGUGGAAAUAGAGAUUGAAACGCCAGAGCAGGCGAAGACAAGAGAAAGAAGUGAAAAGAUAAAACUGGAGUUUGAGACACAUCUUCGGAGGGCGAUGAAACGUUUCAAUAAAGAGGUCCACGAGGACACACACAAGGUUCACCUUCUCUGCCUGCUAGCAAAUGGUUUGUAUCGAAAUAACAUCUGCAGCCAGCCAGAUCUGCAUGCUAUUGGCCUCUCCAUCGUCCCAGCCCGCUUUACCAGAGUGCUGCCUCGAGAUGUGGACACCUACUACCUCUCAAACCUGGUGAAGUGGUUCAUUGGAACAUUUACAGUUAAUGC